CACCAGCGCCACGAGUGGCGUUCACGAUUAUUGGGCCUAAAGCGUCCGUAGUCGGCUCUGUGCAUCUUCUGUGAAAUCGUUGCGCUUAACGUAACGGCAUGCGGAAGACACGGCAGAGCUUGAGACCGGGAGGCGUAGAGGGUACUCCGGGGGGACCGGUAAAAUGGUAUAAUCCCCGGAAGACCACCUGUGGCGAAGGCGCUCUACGAAUACGGAUCUGACGAUGAGGGACGAAAGCCAGGGGAGCAAACCGG
This 254-nucleotide ribosomal RNA is filed under the name uncultured bacterium. RNAcentral's name for it is "partial 16S ribosomal RNA". It matches the Rfam family "Archaeal small subunit ribosomal RNA", at positions 474 to 727 of the family's 1478-position model. The record is from RNAcentral.